RNAcentral lists this ribosomal RNA (424 nucleotides) under uncultured Enterobacter sp. RNAcentral's name for it is "bacterial SSU rRNA". It matches the Rfam family "Bacterial small subunit ribosomal RNA", at positions 358 to 774 of the family's 1533-position model. The record is from RNAcentral. Lineage: Bacteria; Pseudomonadati; Pseudomonadota; Gammaproteobacteria; Enterobacterales; Enterobacteriaceae.
GGAAUAUUGCACAAUGGGCGCAAGCCUGAUGCAGCCAUGCCGCGUGUAUGAAGAAGGCCUUCGGGUUGUAAAGUACUUUCAGUGGGGAGGAAGGCGUGAUGUUUAAUACGCAUCGCGAUUGACGUUACCCACAGAAGAAGCACCGGCUAACUCCGUGCCAGCAGCCGCGGUAAUACGGAGGGUGCAAGCGUUAAUCGGAAUUACUGGGCGUAAAGCGCACGCAGGCGGUCUGUUAAGUCAGAUGUGAAAUCCCCGGGCUCAACCCGGGAACUGCAUUUGAAACUGGCAGGCUUGAGUCUCGUAGAGGGGGGUAGAAUUCCAGGUGUAGCGGUGAAAUGCGUAGAGAUCUGGAGGAAUACCGGUGGCGAAGGCGGCCCCCUGGACGAAGACUGACGCUCAGGUGCGAAAGCGUGGGGAGCAAACA